This 144-nucleotide small RNA is filed under the name Arabidopsis thaliana (thale cress). RNAcentral describes it as "ATSL021950". The record is from RNAcentral. Lineage: Eukaryota; Viridiplantae; Streptophyta; Magnoliopsida; Brassicales; Brassicaceae.
AAAUUCAAUUAAAAAUCUGAAAAUAUAUAAGAAAAUACAUAUCACCACGCUCUAGAGAAUGUCUAAAAUGUGGGAAAUUAGUUCUCGAUGCAAUUUUAAUCUAUAUAUACAUUUUUGCAGCCAUUUUAGCAAAUAAAUCCUGGU